Molecule: transfer RNA, 84 nt
Filed under: Streptomyces hygroscopicus subsp. jinggangensis TL01
Lineage: Bacteria; Bacillati; Actinomycetota; Actinomycetes; Kitasatosporales; Streptomycetaceae
Description: tRNA-Leu
Source: RNAcentral
GAAGCGAUGUGAAUCCACCCCGUACGACGUGCUAAUGUUCUGGGUGUCGGAAGGGGCCGGGCCGAAAGGGCCGGAACCGGAAGA